RNAcentral lists this long non-coding RNA (723 nucleotides) under Homo sapiens (human). RNAcentral describes it as "non-protein coding lnc-CD83-5:4". Lineage: Eukaryota; Metazoa; Chordata; Mammalia; Primates; Hominidae. The record is from RNAcentral.
AGAGGAAGCAGCAAGGCUGGGCCUUGAAGAACGUGAAGGAGUCACCCAGCUAGAGAGGGCAGGAGGGUGUUCCACGAAGUACAAACAUCAUGAACAGAAAGUCAAAGAGUGAAAGUGAAGGGAGGAUUGGGGAGCAGUGAACAGACAAUGUGAGAGAGCUGCGGCACCAUGGAGAAGAGUAAUGAGAGGGACAUCCUGAAGGAAAGACAAUAUGAAGGACUGUCGAUGCCAAAGAAAGGACUUUCAGCCAUAUGCACGCAAUGGGGAGCAAUGCAAGAUUGUCAACCAAGAGACUGAGGUGACCAGAUCUGCUUCACAGCAGCAGCAGCAGCAGUGUACAUGGAAGAUUAGAGGACCGAGAGAGAUGCAUGUCAGGAAAAUCAGCUAACAGACUCUAAAAUAACUAAGACUUGAGAAAGAUCUGGAUCAAAGCUUUAACAGCAGCAAUAAAGAAAAAAGAAGAGACAUUUCUGUAAUCAGAUCUAGAAAAGUUGAUGACCCCCAGGAUAACAGCCAUGAAAGUGCUGCUACCACAAACAUGAGGAAACUUCUGUUAGGAGUUCAACCUUCAGAGAGGACAGCUGGCAGUGCAAGAUGGUGACAGCCCUGCAAUCAGGAGAAGAAAGUCAUGAGACCUGUUUCUCCAGGUUUCCCGCCUCCUUCCACCUUCUGUACAGGACACACCAGUUCCCUCAAGCCCAAAAUGUGAGCAGCUGUCAUUCU